RNAcentral lists this long non-coding RNA (1159 nucleotides) under Homo sapiens (human). Its description in RNAcentral is "MIR663A host gene". Lineage: Eukaryota; Metazoa; Chordata; Mammalia; Primates; Hominidae. The record is from RNAcentral.
GGUGACGCGUGCGCCGGCCGGCCGCCGAGGGGCUACCGUUCUGCCUCCGACCGAAAUACUAGGCUUUAGAAUUUCACCAUAUGAAUUUUGGGAGAGAGGAGCACAGUUCAGCCCAUAACUAACACACGACGGAAUGAAGUUGAUAAUAGUGAGACCUUGUUGGUACAAGACUAUGUAACAUAACCUGCGCUUCUCAACAAAGAAUUGCUUUUCUGACUUCUGCACUCAGUAGAUAGCAAGACAAAUCUCUCCUCUGCCUUCUCCUUAUCAGACUACUCAACAUGAAGGCAAUAAGAAUGAAGACCUCUAUGUAUAAUAAUUGACUUCCACUUAAUAAAUAAGGUUACUUGGUACACUGGUCGACAAAACCUUGAAAUGUUGAUGUUUAAGGGCUGUUGAUUGCUGGCAGCAAAGAAGUCCAACUGUGCUGGUACCCGAGAUAGCGUCUCCACAUUUUCUUCCAGGAUCAUCACCUUUGUUCUAAAUAGCUCCCACAUAGUGUGAACAGAAGUCAUAUGUUUUAGAUUUUCUGCCUUGGCACCCAGGAAACCAGUAUGAUUGAGUAAACAUAUUAAACUUCCUCUGCAUUUCCAGCCUGAACAGAUGUUGAGUACAAGCUGAUCCACCUACGUUCAACCUGAGAGAGUCCACAUCCACAGACUGUUUCAUUUCCCUUUUUCAAUUUACAUAGAAGCAUAGAUUCUUGCUGGCAUAUACAAAUGCGCCAUUUAAGGCAAUCAAAAAUGGUUCCACAUCUCAUCUGAUUUCCACAAUUGUUGCUGUAACGAUGGACUACUGAGGAGAGAGACAAUUUCUCUGGCACAUCUUCCCACAUUUUAGCAACAUGUUCAUGGAGAGCCAAUAUUCAGUAAUUACAGCCCAAUUCCUCACAAUUUCACAAUUCGCUAACAAUAUGCAUUUUCACAAUGUAAAGCUGAUUUUCCUUUAACCAAAUCAAACAUGAAAAGAUAGCUGCAUGCAAUGGGCAAUCUAGAUCAUUAGAAGAUUGAUGUAAAAUUAGAGGACACUGAGACUGGAAUAGAUUGCAAACUUCAGGGAGCUCAGAAAACUUGUAAACUCUACAUUUUGAGGAAAUAUGUUGUCGAUGCUUUUGCAACUCUAUGCAGUAACUUAACAAAUAAAGCCUUAAAGUAACUUA